UAGAAGAUCUGAGACAGGCAGACCACAAAAACAAUAAUUUAUUGGCAAAAAGAGCAAUCAAGGUCCUGGGCCUGGACACAGGAAAGUUCACCUUCCUAUAGUCAUGGAAGCCCACGAGACAAAUUAGAUCUUCACUGAAGAUAAAAGUGUCUGACAUCUACAUUUGAACCGAUCUUCUCUUAUCUGACGGGGAACGUGAACAGUGAUUAUCCACUUAGCCCAGAUCCAUUCUCUGAUUUUUAAAAAUGUGAUUUGCUAACACAUACCAGACUUCACAUAGGGAGAAGGUGUAAACAUGGAAUCCGUUUCUUGAAGAGCAUUUCAUACAACGCCCCUGAGGAACACACUUUGGAAAAUGUUCAUCCCUGUCCAACUACCAUGUUUGCGUGAGUUUAUGAUCUGCCUGCCGUUCAUCAGCCUUUGUUAUCAGAUGAGGAAACCAAGACACAGAGAAGAUAAACAACUUGCCUGAAGUCACAAAUGGCACUACAGUUGUGAUGAGGCAAUUGCAACAUUUGAAAAGACCCCAGGGAGUUUGCAUUAAAUGCGUUUCACAAGAGUGAAUGAUGGAACAGAACACCAUGUACAAAGACACAGUCAUCCAACACCCAAGCACAAAUGGCACAAGUUAAACAUGUGACGGCUUGAUGUAUGACAGCACCCAGUACAGUGCCCAGCAAUGGACUGGAACCAAACCAGCAGAGCAAAACCAGGUGAGAGGAUACCUUGAGGACACCUUCAGCAACCCAUCUGAAACUAGAUAGCUGUCCUCUGAAAGGCAGCUUUUAUAUAACUAAGAUCACAUUGCAAUGAUGCCAAAUGUCUGAGAAACUCUUGGAAUUACACAAGGAAUUUAAAAAUAUGCAAUAUCAUUUGAAAACCAGCAGGAUACAGAGGGACAGGAGAAACAGAAAGGAAGACAGUAGAAAAGAGGAAGAGUUCCCCAAUCAAAUGCUAUUUAUUAGGAUUUCCCUCUUAUCCAGUAGUUAAAUGAAAUUUCUACAUCAAAGAAAAUCUCUGAGCACUCAGUAAUUUGUCUCUCCAGGGAACGGGAAUUCAGGCGGCUUUUAAAAAUAUCAUGGGGCCCAGCUAAUGUCCAGAAGUCAUCAUUAGAGAGCUGGAGUAGGUUAGAAGGAUGAAGUUUCGUUUGUCAGCCUCCUCCUGGUUCUCUGUAAGAGCCAUCAGUGGAUCCCGCCUAGAAGGGCUUAGCCCUCUUGAAGGGAAAGGCGCCAGCUUUGGAGCCCAGCGGUUGUCUGGUGGAUUUUAUUAUUAGAUUGGAGGUUCCACACAAUGUAAUUAAAGCCCUAUGGCCAUAGCGGCACCAAUGUCACAGGCCUGACUUUUUCUAUUGCAGCUGAUAAAUCUGCAGGCAGAUGGACAAUGUUCUCUUUCCUUUUGCCUCUGUGUGUGUGUAGGAAGAGAUGUGGAUGGACACAUCCCUCAAAAUCAUUUGGCAAGCACUAAUUCAGUUGAAAUGAUGCUUGGCAAGCUCUAGUCAUAACAAAGCAGCCUCAGAAAGGCCUGCUGACCUCUUGUACCUGUUUGGUGACUGACCGGGAGGGGUGGGAGAACAGGGAGAGAAAGGCCCAGCCUGGAAGUGCUCUCGGGGACUUUUCCUGUAAUGUGGUAAAGGAGUCAAAAAUUAUGACAAGCAAAGAGAAGCCAAACUCCAUUAAAAAAAGACAUUUUAGAUUAGGAAAAUAAAAUAAAAUAAAACUUUUGUGACAACCAAAUCAAAGACCACAGCAUUUCCUGGCAGUAUUUUUUUUUUUAAUGAACAAAAAUAGUAAUAAUGUCUAGCAAGAAUUGUACAUGUAUUAGCUACAUAAAAUCAAAACCAGGCUGGCAUGCUGGCAUUGCUGAACAGAAAAGACAGAAUUUUUUAUAAUCUUUAUUUUUAGUUAAUUUCUUCAUUCGCUAAAAUUGCCAGGUUGUUUUUUAAAAGUUGCUAGCCAAACUGCUUUGGCAUGCUAAUUAGAUAUAAAAACGAUGGACUCCGUGGAAGGGGAAAGAUGAGGAGGGAUCCAGGGCAGAUCUUCAAGGAGAGCCCAGAGAUAAAGGGCAGAACUUAAAGGAGCUAUUUUCAGUGACUUCCCUUAUCAACAAAUUCAUUAUGGAUACGUGGGAUGAAGGGUCAUGUUCAAAACAUGUAACAACUGAUAUGUCGUGGGCAUCAACAAGUCAGAAUAGCCCCCAGCUAGAAGCUACUAGAACGGUUGUACGUGAGCCCUGCCUGUGAUUAAGCCAUCAGCUCUGGGCUCUUGCUUUUAAAAGUUAAUAUCAUUUGUAAAGAAAAGGGGUAGAACACAGAAAAGAACAAGGGAAAGAAAAAUACCAGCACAGAAGCGAACAGCGUGGGAGUCCAUGUGUCUUCCGCUUUCAGCAUAACUCCCUGAUCCCGCUUCCCACCCAAACCUCCCUCGCCAGGGAAUGCUUGUCUUCUCCAAAUAUCACAUUUUCAUGUAACACCCUAAAGUAUAAGUACCAAUGCUUUAAAAAAGAUUAAAC
RNAcentral lists this long non-coding RNA (2508 nucleotides) under Homo sapiens (human). RNAcentral describes it as "HSALNT0071612". Lineage: Eukaryota; Metazoa; Chordata; Mammalia; Primates; Hominidae. The record is from RNAcentral.